AACGAACGCUGGCGGCAUGCCUAACACAUGCAAGUCGAACGAAGGCUUCGGCCUUAGUGGCGCACGGGUGAGUAACGCGUGGGAAACUGCCUAUUGGUGGGGAAUAACGACGGGAAACUGUCGCUAAUACCGCAUAAGCCCUUCGGGGGAAAGAUUUAUCGCCGAUUGAUGUGCCCGCGUCCGAUUAGCUAGUUGGUGAGGUAAUGGCUCACCAAGGCGACGAUCGGUAGCUGGUCUGAGAGGAUGAUCAGCCACACUGGGACUGAGACACGGCCCAGACUCCUACGGGAGGCAGCAGUGGGGAAUAUUGGACAAUGGGCGAAAGCGUGAUCCAGCAAUGCCGCGUGAGUGAUGAAGGCCUUAGGGUUGUAAAGCUCUUUCGGGUGGGACGAUGAUGACGGUACCACCAGAAGAAGCCCCGGCUAACUUCGUGCCAGCCGCCGCGGUAA
This 449-nucleotide ribosomal RNA is filed under the name uncultured bacterium. RNAcentral's name for it is "partial 16S ribosomal RNA". It matches the Rfam family "Bacterial small subunit ribosomal RNA", at positions 29 to 523 of the family's 1533-position model. The record is from RNAcentral.